Long non-coding RNA from Oryzias javanicus (javanese ricefish), 3943 nucleotides. NCBI's taxonomy places the organism in Eukaryota, Metazoa, Chordata, Actinopteri, Beloniformes, Adrianichthyidae. The record is from Ensembl.
AGCCUGAAGCGAUUGCAGGCAUCACCCCAGUUUUAAACUCAUUUUUGGAAGCAGGUACAGUCAUCCCUUGUGAUGAUUCCCCUGCUAACGCCCCGAUAUCGCCCCGAUACUUUAAUAAGUAUCGCCCUCCUCCAGUCUCUGAGGAAUGGCGCUUUGUCCAAGAUCUGACCUCUGUCAAUGCAGCUGUACAUGCACGUGCUCCAUCUGUCCAAAUCCCUGCACCCUUUUGUCUAAUGUACCACUAACUCUUGGGUGGUUCUCUGUCCUUUAUCUUUCUAAUGCCUUUUUUUCUGUUCCUGUUCACCCAGACUCUCAGUUCUGGUUUGCAUUUCAGUUUAAUGGGUGAGGGUACACCUUCACCCACAUGCCACAGAGCUACUGUGAAUCACCUACAGUUCACAACAGAGCUCUCGCCGACUCUCUCUCCACUUUCUGCCCUACACCAGGUUCUGCCCUUCUGCACAGCUCGAAGCCACAAAGUCAGCAGACAAAAAUUGCAGUUUUCCAGAGAAGAAGUCACGUUCCUUGGACAUGUUGUCUGUGCAGAAGCUUUUGCGUCACAGGUGAGAGGCCGGGCUCCAGACUCUGACAGGCGGUGAAACCACGAGCACUGGCUGAGCCUCUUCCAGGUCCUCCUCACCAUGCAGACCGCAGUCGAGAUUCGUGGGCGAAAUCGCUGGGCGAGCUCCUUGGGUUUGUGCAUCGUGCUGCCAGAGGGUCCCACCCCCAGACCAACAUCGAGCCCCAGACCUGCAGCUCCUGAACAGCGGACUGGCCUGUCCGGCUGCAUCGCCCCGGGGAGAAACGGUGUGAAGUGAAAUAGCGUCCCACUGCAACAGUAGCGUGCCAAGCUCCAACCCUUCAGCCUCACCUUGAAGAAUCCCCGCCCCUGGCAUCCAUUCAGAGUGUUUGGCUGGCCCCUGAGAGGCUCCACCCGCCUCCUCUUCUUCCUAUCCAUCAUCAUCGUGUUCCCCAUUCUCUGGAUACUCGAACCCCCUUCGUCUCCGUCCCCUGCUGCCCCCUCAUUGACCAACUCAACUCCCCUUUCCCCCUUCUCCGAAUGACACCUCCACUGCCCCUCCGUCCAGGCCUCCAAUCGAGCCCCCGCAUCAGCCGCUGAUUCUUCUCCCCCGUCUUGCGUCGACAAAGGCAUUGGUGCAGAGGAUCGCAGUCUCGUUCUACACCUCCACCUUCCCCCUGCCUGUGCAACCCCCCAGGAUUGCGUCCUGGAAUAACACUUCCUGUUUCCACAUGACUGUUCGUUUAUAGGUCCGGCGCCACAAAAGACCCCUUCACUUCCUUCUCCAUCUGUAGCAAUAUUAACACUGUGUCUGAUGUAACUGCUUUGUUUGGUGUUUUGAUUGUUGGUCCACAUUUUACUUCACAGCAUGCUGUUAUUGUUCGUAACAGGGAGCCGACAGUUGAUGAUUGCUUCGAGGUGAUGUCAGGUAUUUCAGGUUCUACUAAUAACUGGCUUCUCUUGGCAGAACAGGUUGGCAGUUCAGCGGACGCUGGUUGUGUUGUUUGCUUGGAUCCCUGGCCACUUUUGAGGAUUGCUCCUCUGCCACCCGCCCUGAGUUUCUACUGCAUGUCCCGUUUGUUGUCUCCCGUUAGCUUCUGGGACGAGGUCCCCUCCCCUCUUUGAUGUUGAUGUUGCUGUAGGUGUGUUUUCUUGUUUUGCUAAUGGUUUUGCAGGUCACAUCCUGGUUGGUCCCUUUAACUCCUCCUGCCUGCCACAGUUGUGUUUGUGUCUCCCAUGGAUCGCCCCGAUGCUCGUCCUGCUUGCCUUAGGCGCUCUGUUGAUGAUUCUUCCUCAGGUCCUACUUAUAUUGAUGCGAUUGCCGUUUCCAAAGGUGUUCCAGAGGUGUUCCAGAGGUGUUCCAGAUGAGUGCAAGCUUGUCGAUCAGGUCGCUGCAGGGUUUGAGUCUGCCCUUUGGUGGUGCACUAUUAUCUAAACUGUUGACCACAUUAAUUACGUUUAUUCUCCGCCGGGUCAGCUGAUCAGAGCUGUUGAUGGCCUGCGCGCACUUAGUUCUAAGUUGGAGGAACAUUUAGGUGUUAAUACAUCAGUAUGGGAUUUUUAGGAGUCCAUUUUUGGGAAAUAUCAGGCCCUUGUUGCUUUAGUUCUUAUGUCCUUAGCUGUGUUUUCCUCUCUUGUCGUCCUCUGUGGGUGUUGCUACAUUCCCUAUAGUCGUGCCCUUCUGAUUUAUAUUUUUGACAUGUUUUUAACAAGGCUUUCAGCAGGAGCGUUCCCCAAUUCGUUUACAGUCCCCUAACUGCAGUGGUGUGUCCCGCCUCGUGUCUGAUUUUGAGCUGGAUUCUGAUCCGGACCAUUUCUCCUCAUCUGGUGAUUAUGAUAAUGGUGAUACAGUUGUUAAUUAUUGUUAUUAUUAUUAUUUUUUUUAAUUAAUAUUAAUUAAUUAAUUCGGCUUCGUUAGUUUUAUUGAUUGAUUGAUUCAUUAGGCCUCAUUGAUUUGACUAGUUUAGGGACAGACUUGUUGAAUUUUAUUGAGUUGGUUGGUCUUUGGUUGAAUUUUUAGAGUUGAUUGGUUUGAUUGGGCUUUGAUUGAUUUUUUUGGUUGAUUUUUUUUUUUUAUCAUGGUUCUGCUGUGGAAUGAGGUCCCAGUGUUUUGCAUUGCUUUUACCGGCUUGUGUUUCAUAGAGUUUGAUUUUGUGUUUUUCUAAUCGUAAUUUUCGCCUUUGUGUUGUUCCUGUUAGGAACAAAGGGGUGGAGUGUGAUGGAAAAUAUACGUUUACGUAUACAUUUCAUCUUUACAAUUAAAUGUGUCUAACCUUUGUGCACAGCCGUGAGGCCACAAGCUUUAUUUUCUUAUUGUCAGGACGCCUUGAUCACAGUGUAUAAACAUUUUGACUUCAUUAGAACAUCUUGUCCAUAUUAGAUAUGGCGCUUACGUUCCUAUCCUAAGUUUCUGAUUAAAGUUGUUUGUAUGGCUCUAUAAAAUACGAAUGUCCUUCAUCACAGGCAGGGCUCUGCAGACCUCUCCUCCAUGCUUGCAAGACGUGUACUUUUCUCUGCUCUGUUUUAAUAAACAUUCUUAAAACCGCUUGACAACAUUUCUUUAUUCCAUCGGAUCCAACUAUUUUUCCACCACAGUGUUCACUUUUAUUUUGAAAACACUAAACGGUCUUGUUUUUUGUAUUUCUUGACCGGAUUUCACCGCAAAAUGAGCCCAUUAGCCAUCAUCAUUCUGUCUGUGGCAAAUUUUGAGGAUAAACGCCUGGGCUACUUGAAGCAGAUACGCAAUGUGCACAUCCAUAUUUGGAAAAAUGUGGAUGUUUGUUGUCGGGUGAAACGCAGACACGCUGCAGAGACCGGCUCUAGGUUGACAUGGUGAAAUGCGCAGCACUCAGAAGGAGCGAGAGGCGGACUCUCAGAUAGUGAGUUGUUUUACUUCAAAGUUGGAAAAGUUUUUUAAAGAUUGACUCAUUUCAUAAAAGAGGUCAAAUAUGAUCAUAUAUAUGGAUAUAGUUUACUCUGGAAGACUUAAGAAAAGCAUCGUAUAGGCCCUGUAAAUGCUGAAUCAGACUGACUUGAACCGAUCAGUAUUUACAGGCAAUGUCUGGCUCCAACAGAGCAGAGUCUGUAUUGAGUAAAGAGGAGGACCUGGUUGCAGACAAGAUGGAGGCUGAAAAUCAUUAGCAGUCCAGAACUGGAAGAGAAAAGCAGUUCUGUGCUGGUAAGCAACACUUUAAAGUGGCUUUUCACAGACAUGCAACACAUUACUGAUAUGAAGUAUUACAAGCCGGCACAAAGCGGCUUUUAUCCACAACAGAAUGAUAAAAGACAAAUAGACCUUUUUAGUAAUGAACACAUUUCUGACAGGAUGGAUGCCACCAGGUGCAAUAUUUGUAAAGAGUAAAACAGUAAUAAACAGAUUUGUUUUCUGAUAUUUUAUUUUUCUCAUGAUUCAGAGGUUUUCCG